This 746-nucleotide long non-coding RNA is filed under the name Ananas comosus (pineapple). Its description in RNAcentral is "long non-coding RNA (ACOM_LNC012973)". The record is from RNAcentral. Lineage: Eukaryota; Viridiplantae; Streptophyta; Magnoliopsida; Poales; Bromeliaceae.
GUUCAGUGAUGGGAGAAUUUUUCUGGGUGAAACUUCUCCAGCUUGCUGGAGCAAACCAUCUAUGUUUGCAUAUUCCUGAGUAAACAUCACAAAGUAAGCUUUUGCAUGUUGUAGGCUCUUCUUGGAAAGAUCUAUCUUUUCAAGUAGUUCCUCCAUCCGAAAGUGGUCUCAUAUUCCAUUGCCUUGAGUAGUGGCAUCGCUACAUUUACCUUUUAGGAAUGGCCAUGGGACAAACAUGUGUUUUAAGAUAUUUUCAGUUAUAACAUAUUCAUGUUUUUUCAACCUUGAACUACCAUUUUUUCUUGUUCUGUAUUGUGGAUUCAAUCUGUGUUUUUUUUGGUGGGAAAAACUGUUACUAAUCACUAAUCAGAUGUAAUAAAUAAUCCUACCUCAUCUGGUUUCAUUCUAGUUGGAUUUUUAUUUGCUGAAUUUGACUGUUUUACUGACGGGAGGAUUUUUCUGGGUGAAAAUUCUCCAACUUGGUGGAGCAAACAAUCCAUGUUUGCAUAUUCCUAAGUAAACGUCACAAAGUAAGCUUUUGGAUGUUGAUGGCUCUUCUUGGGAAGAUCUAUCUUUGCAAGGAGUUCCUCCAUCUGAAAGUUGUCUCAUAUUCCAUCGCCUUGAGGAGCGGCGUUGCUGCAAUUACCUUUUAGGACUGGCCAUGAGACAAACAUAUGCAUCUUCCUCUGUAUUUUUUUGUGUUACCCACUUCAAUAUUUGUGGUCAGUAAUGGCUGCUACAUAUAC